Non-coding RNA from Chelonoidis abingdonii (Abingdon island giant tortoise), 128 nucleotides. The record is from RefSeq and is a predicted model, not a curated record. NCBI's taxonomy places the organism in Eukaryota, Metazoa, Chordata, Testudines, Testudinidae.
UUUUCCAGCUUCGGAGCGCCCUCUGCCAGCUAAUGUCUCACCUGCCGCUGGCCCCUGUGUCCCUCCCAGACCCUGGUGCCCUUUGCCAAGGGGUUCUGCCCACUGUAGCAUCCCACAGACUGGGGCUU